This 433-nucleotide ribosomal RNA is filed under the name uncultured bacterium. Its description in RNAcentral is "partial 16S ribosomal RNA". It matches the Rfam family "Bacterial small subunit ribosomal RNA", at positions 29 to 507 of the family's 1533-position model. The record is from RNAcentral.
AACGAACGCUGGCGGCAUGCCUAACACAUGCAAGUCGAACGAAACCUUCGGGUCUAGUGGCGCAUGGGUUCGUAACGCGUGGGAACCUGCACUUAGGUUUGGAAUAACUCAGAGACAUGUGAGCUAAUACCGGAUGAUGUCUUCGGACCAAAGAUUUAUCGCCCUUAGAGGGGCGCGCGUUGGAUUCGCUCGUUGUGUGGGUAAAGGCCUACCAAGGCGAGGAUCCAUAGCUGGUCUGUGAGGAUGAUCAGCAACACUGAGACUGAGAGACGGCCCGGACUCCUACGGGAGGCAGCAGUGGGGAAUAUUGGACAAUGGGCGGAGGCAUGAUCCAGCACGGACGGGUGAGUGAUGAUGGCCUUAGGGUUGUAAAGCGUUUUUACCCGAGAUGAUAAUGACGGUAUCGGGAGAAUAAGCUCCGGCUAACUACGUG